GUGCUCGCUUCAGCAGCACAGAUACUAAAAUUGGAAUGAUUUAGAGAUUAGCAUGGCCCCUGUGCAAGGAUGACACUGAAAUUCGUGAAGCAUUCCAUAUUUUU
Camelus dromedarius (Arabian camel) is the source of this 104-nucleotide small nuclear RNA. The record is from Ensembl. Lineage: Eukaryota; Metazoa; Chordata; Mammalia; Artiodactyla; Camelidae.